ACAAAUUGUAGCAGCGUUGUUUGGUGUCUAAAUGCGUAUCUGCUACGCAAAAUCGUAAAGGUUGGCAGGUCUGGUCCUGGGUAGGAAGUAGUAGAAAGAAAAGCGCAUGCAUCUGUCAUCGCUUCUCUUUUUGCGCUUGCUGAGUGACCUAGCUAACUAGUUGGUUUAAAACCAACUUCCAAUUGCAAUGGAACGAGCCAAAUGGUAGCUGAAAGUUUUGCAAAUUCAGCCAUCGCUUCCGGACAAUUACCGUACUUGCACAGGAACAACACUGACUAAUACUGAAUGCGGAGAAUGUCCUGACAGAACAUUUUCAGAAAAUUAUUUUUCUGCAUUCUGCAAACCACACACAGAUUGCCAAUCCUUGGUACUUCAGGAAAUUACAGCUGGAACAAACACAUCAGACAGUGAAUGUGGACCAAGAAAUUAUCCUCGUUCCAGAGUUGCUGGGCUUGUGCCUGCGGUGCUUGUAGUACUACUAUUAACUGUCAUUUUAGGCAAGAUAAUGAAGAGUGAACAUAAUCGCCAGAGAGAACAGCAGAAUGAAGAGAGGAGAAUGAAGAACAUGG
Molecule: long non-coding RNA, 569 nt
Organism: Conger conger (European conger)
Lineage: Eukaryota; Metazoa; Chordata; Actinopteri; Anguilliformes; Congridae
Exons: 4
Source: RefSeq, a predicted model, not a curated record